This 146-nucleotide unclassified non-coding RNA is filed under the name soil metagenome. Its description in RNAcentral is "partial internal transcribed spacer 1". The record is from RNAcentral.
UAAUAAGUGUUUUAUGGCACUUUUUAAAUCCAUAUCCACCUUGUGUGCAAUGUCAGUCGAUCUUCUUCAUGGAGACUCGACCAAACAUCAACCUUUAUCUUUUAACUCUUUGUCUUAAAAAUAUUAUGAAUAAACAAUUCAAAAUA